ACGUCACAUCAGUCAGUCGAGUACCGAUCUCGAUAGCCUGCGAACAGUACGCACAGCGCACACGUGCCCUUGCGCCCGGACCUAACCGCCGCACUCCGCGCGACCACUGCACCUCUUGCCAGCACCGUUCCGACCAGUGCCUCACUCGCUUUCGACCUAUUAUGUAAUACGAAAAUAAACACCGCGCCUUUAACAGCAAGCACGUGUGCGCACAGGCUGCCGUACUUCGCUGACCGCCGUCCACAUCUUACCGCCAUCAUAUUAAACAUUAACAUCACUGCCAAAGCGUAAACUUACCACCUUUCAAUCAAUCUUUUGCCGUGUCAAAGUUAUUUGUUUCCAGUGUCGCGAUUUGCAGGUUAUACGUUAAAAUAUACUUCGGGUUGGAAGUGUUUUUCUGAAUUGUUAUACUUAAAUUCCUACACAAUUUAUAGUGAUUGUUUUAGUGGAUUGUUUUAUACAUAACCCAGUGCAAAAUGUCUAAUUCUCUGGAACAACAAUUUGGGGACCUUAACUUGUCACAGGAAGAUCAUGAUCAAAUUUUUGAACAAGAAGAUCAUCAAGAUCAAAGCCGGUCAAGGAUUCUCAUCAGUGGGCUAUCAAUGCACGCUCGCUUCGACACCAUCGAGCCACUACUAUCACAGUAUGGCAACGUGCAACAAUGCGACAAAAUCAACUCACGCGAUGCCAACACCCAAGCGGUGUACAUUACAUUCGAGACCCCGGAGCAGGCGCAGCAAGCCAUCAACGGUCUGAACGGAUGCGAAGUAGAGGGCGCGCGUAUAAAGGUAGAGGCGGCGGAUGGUAUGGCGAGGGGUGGACGGCGUGGUCGACCAGGCGGCGGUCGCGGCGGUGGCGGCGCUCUCGGAGGCGGCUCGCGUCCUACUGAUUUUCCUCUUCGCCUCCUUGUUCAGAGUGACAUGGUUGGAGCUAUCAUAGGCCGUCAGGGAAGCACUAUCCGCCUCAUCACUCAGCAGAGCCGUGCCCGCGUUGACGUUCACCGUAAAGAUAACGUUGGCUCCCUAGAGAAAGCUAUCACCAUAUAUGGCAAUCCAGAUAAUUGUACGAAUGCCUGCAAAAGGAUACUUGAAGUUAUGCAACAGGAAGCUAACAACACUAAUAAGGGUGAAAUAUGCCUUAAAAUAUUGGCUCAUAAUAACUUGAUUGGUCGCAUAAUCGGCAAGGGUGGCAACACAAUCAAGCGAAUAAUGCAGGAAACCGAUACAAAGAUUACUGUAUCAUCCAUAAAUGAUAUAAACAGUUUUAAUUUGGAGCGAAUCAUAACUGUGAAAGGUACUAUUGAGAACAUGGCUAAAGCAGAGUCACAAAUUUCGGCCAAACUGCGUCAAAGUUACGAAAACGAUCUGCAGGUACUGGCGCCGCAGAGUAUAAUGUUCCCUGGGUUACACCCAAUGGCAAUGAUGUCGACGGGGCGCGGAUUUUGUGGUGCGCCGCCUCCUUUCCCACCGCCUAUAUAUGCGCCGCUGGCCGGCCAGGGCGGCGCGCAACAAGGUGCUGGCGACUCGCAAGAAACGACCUAUCUUUAUAUUCCGAAUAAUGCUGUGGGUGCAAUAAUUGGCACAAAGGGAUCACAUAUACGCAACAUAAUUAGAUUCAGCAAUGCAUCUGUAAAGAUUGCUCCUCUUGAGCAAGAUAAGGUUAUUGAAGGUGUGCCAGGCGCUGGUGCAGUUGCAGCUCCAGGCAGUGUGGCUGCACAACAGGAGAGGAAAGUGACUAUCGUAGGAAGUCCUGAAGCACAGUGGAAGGCGCAGUAUUUGAUCUUCGAGAAGAUGCGUGAGGAGGGAUUCAUGUCUGGCUCUGAUGAUGUGCGACUGACUGUGGCAAUAGUGGUAGCAUCGUCGCAGGUGGGCCGCAUCAUCGGGAAGGGUGGGCAGAAUGUGCGUGAGCUACAGCGCGUCACCGGAUCGCUUAUUAAGCUUCCCGAGCAGCCGCAACCGCCGACCGCAGCUGGUAACGACCACGAGACUACUGUACACAUCGUCGGCCACUUCUACAGUGUUCAGCGAUCGCCCGAAGCGGGAUGAGUGCAUUAUGGCGAACAACGUACAACUCUCGCAGCCUCUGUGUGCACAGAGAAAAUAUGCCAACUAGACGCUCACCAUAGCGGCUCAUAUUAUCUUAACUAUUUGAUAGUCCGCGCAGCGACGCAUCCGCUCGAUGGUAGCGCAGGCGUCGGCUCCGGGUCGCCACCGACGCGCUGCCCCGCCACCGCCACCGCCCGCGCAGCAGUAGGCUGUCACCUCGUCACCACCACCCGCCGCCACAACUCUGCCACCACCGCAUCGUGUCACCUCGCCAACUGCCACCUGCCACCUGCCACUUCGCCGACCCUACCCCACCUCACCCCUGCUACGCCCCCCUGUCGUACGAAUGGUACAGUUAUAUACGGUUCGGUACAUUAUUGUCGCCGCGACCGGCCCAGACCCAAAACCUGCUGUGCAACUUUGACCGCUUCGAUUUGUUGGCAGCGUGUCUAUGUUGUUGUUGAAGUAUUAUAGUAACGUAGUGAAUUAUAAUAAUUAAAUACUAUUGACGAAUUUUAUCCCAGGAUUAAUGUUGAUGAAUAAUUAAUUGGAUAUAUAUAUAUAUAUUAUGUAUUUUAUAUAUUAUUCAUAUACACUAUUUUUUUUAACGAUAGUGACAGUUAUAUGAAUUAGCCGGAAUAUAUUUAAUUGUUAUUGUUUUCAAUUUUCAUACCAUGUUAUAUUUAUGAAGCAUUGUAAAGAGUUCACCUAAGGCAAUAGUUAACGAUUAUGUUCUCAUAUACACAUGUUAGUAGCAAUAGGUUAGAAAUACAGCACCAUUAUUAUACAAACGAGAUAAUACAUAUUUUGUUUUGUUAUGAAGUAAUAGAUUAAUCUGUUAAUACACAACAAUACGCUGUUAAUAUUAUUCAGUAGGGUGUGUGGGUUGCGAACACCGCUAAGAAUGGAAAAAAUACGACAUCGCUUUAUUGAUGAGGCUCAACAAAAAUGAAUGGAAAGCUUUGCAACUUCGAUGUAAGGAAAUAUACUAAAAACAAGACGGAAAGAUGUGUGUAAGCCGAUUAGCGCUCGGCUGACGUCGUCCGCGGGCUGCCGGCCCCCAGAUGACUGAACACUAACACGAGACUGACCGACCAUUCGACAGACUGACAGACUAGUCGACGUCGCCGGGCCGCCCGCGGCCGACGCACUACGCCGCGGCGCUCAAUUGCUAUUCACCAGCGAAUGAUAUAAAUAUUUUUGAUAGAUAAGUCAUCGUUGGUCAGUAAGGUCUUUAAUGGUACGAGUUUUAAUUUGUAAGUGACAUUUGUUGAUCGUUUUCUUUGUAAUUUGUCUUUGUUAGCUUUAUUACGGUUUUCCUGUAUCGAUGCGGCCGUGAGCGAUCUCCACGGUAGCGACCUGCGCUGGCAGAGCUGGCGCAUCGCGAAACGGCGGAGUCGUUCAGUUUCACGCCCCGAUACAGUUUUAUGCGUGUACGAUUUGCGUUAUAAUUGUGCCAAGUGAGAUAUUUAAAUAUGAUCUAUUAAGAAUAAGUGAAGAAAAUAUCAAAAUUAAUGAAGCUUAGAUAUUUAUAUUUAUAAUUGUGAUAAUAAUAUAUGGAAGUUUUGGCAAAACAGGAAUGUUUUACAUUCUUAUACCCUUAUUUCGACAAGACUAGGUAAAAUAUAGUAUGUCCGCUCCCGGGUGCAUAAGAUAAUUAUAUAGCCAUUGGCCCGACGCUGCUCCUUCGCCUACAUCAGAGAGCGAAAUAUUUGCUUGCCGACACUGUCUGGAUACUUCCACAUAUUAUUGAAAAUUAUCUCGCUCUUGGCAUUCAAUUCACCGAAUGUACCGUAACCGAAACUAUAUGUUAAUAACAAUGUAUGCUUUGUAACAUCUGAAACAAUUGAGAAAGAUUGAAUGGAGUAAAAGACAGCAGAUGCUAGAAAGAUGUGCUGGUUCUAAGCACAUGUUGUCCAUAAAUGUAAUAAAUGUAUUGGGUAAUAUUUAAAAGCACUUUAAAAUUGAUGUUUAAAUAAAAGAUUCUUGUAUCGAUAUUCCUACAAAAACAACUUAAAUCGCAAAAUACUGAAGCUUUAAAAUUUUCGUGAUGUUAUAUAUGAUGGAUAGUUUGCUCUAAAAUUACCGAUGUACUUACUAACAACCAACUUUAUACGUGUAUACUUUAUUAUGUAAACAUUUAAGGAUAAGAUAGAGAAAAGCAGUUUGUUUUUAGUACCACUGUUCGGUGUUCUAUACUUACCUUAUCUAUGAUAAGUAAUUAAAAGCCAUAAUCUAUGUGUAUAGGUUAAGAAUGAAUAAUUUAAAUGUUGAUCCUGAGAAAUGAGAAAGUUAGAGCGAGUGCCAACUAUCAAUUUCAAAGUAUUUAAGACAAUGUCCGAUUAUCUUUUUCAAAGUGCGAUUAUGUAUUUCCCCAUAUGUAUUAUUGUCUGAUUACUGUACUUUUAAGUAAAUGCAUGAAUGUACGUGUUCGCAUGUAUAAAUGUAUACAAUAAGAUACAAUAAAGUUGUGAAUGUA
This is an RNA transcript of Danaus plexippus (monarch butterfly), 4524 nucleotides long. It is a transcript of the gene named insulin-like growth factor 2 mRNA-binding protein 1, with no coding region annotated. The transcript is spliced from 8 exons. The record is from RefSeq and is a predicted model, not a curated record. NCBI's taxonomy places the organism in Eukaryota, Metazoa, Arthropoda, Insecta, Lepidoptera, Nymphalidae.